This is a long non-coding RNA of Humulus lupulus (European hop), 688 nucleotides long. RefSeq lists it as uncharacterized. The record is from RefSeq and is a predicted model, not a curated record. The transcript has 2 exons. Lineage: Eukaryota; Viridiplantae; Streptophyta; Magnoliopsida; Rosales; Cannabaceae.
UCCGUUUUCUUUUUUCUCUCUCUCUUCCUUCUUCCUUCUCCCAGACUGUUCUUUUUCCAGAUUUGGGGAUCUCAACGUUGGCUAGGCAUGGGGAAGAGCUGUCAUAAUUGCAUCUGUAAAACUUCUCAGGUGAGGUGAAUAAGGUUGGACAUCUUCUUCUUCCUAAACCAGAGCUAUCGUUUUCCACCACUGUAAAGGGCGAUUGGUGUGUCGUCUUCAUCCUUGGCAGUGGUUGGCGGUGUGAAAGGAGUUGCCCGUUGAGUAACAUGCUGGGUUGAUCUGAAGAAGAGCUGGUUAGGCGAAAGACUUGAUGGAGGAGAUAUGGAGCAAAUGUCACAUCUAGAGCUGGGUCUUUUAGCAAGAACGCAUAUGUCACCUGAGAAAUAGAGCUCCCUCUUCCAAAUAUACUCGUAUGCUCCAAAAAUGCAGUACGGUGCACUUGCCGAGGAAUGUUGUUGAAACAUAGCUUCAAAAUUUGUAUUCCAAAUCUGUGUUUGUGAAUUAAUCUAUGGUUUCUUUUUUUGUGAUGUUAUAGAAAUUUUUAUUUAUAAUUUGAGUUGAAGACAGCGAUGGACAAGAACACAAUGGGUAUUUUUUUUUCUUAAUUUAAUUUGAUUUAGUCACUUGUAUCUGACUUUAUUUGUUUUUUAUUAUUUAAAAUAAUAUAUAUUUUUUUAUCAUUUUACAA